UGAGGAAUAUUGGGCAAUGGACGCAAGUCUGACCCAGCCAUGCCGCGUGCAGGAUGACGGCCCUAUGGGUUGUAAACUGCUUUUAUAUGGAAAGAAACCCAUCUACGUGUAGAUGGCUGACGGUACCAUAUGAAUAAGCAUCGGCUAACUCCGUGCCAGCAGCCGCGGUAAUACGGAGGAUGCAAGCGUUAUCCGGAUUUAUUGGGUUUAAAGGGUCCGUAGGCGGGCUUUUAAGUCAGUGGUGAAAGCCUACAGCUUAACUGUAGAAAUGCCAUUGAUACUGGAAGUCUUGAGUAUUGUUGAAGUAGGCGGAAUACGUCAUGUAGCGGUGAAAUGCAUAGAUAUGACGUAGAACACCGAUUGCGAAGGCAGCUUACUAAGCAAUAACUGACGCUGAGGGACGAAAGCGUGGGGAGCAAACAGG
RNAcentral lists this ribosomal RNA (424 nucleotides) under uncultured Bacteroidota bacterium. RNAcentral's name for it is "bacterial SSU rRNA". It matches the Rfam family "Bacterial small subunit ribosomal RNA", at positions 355 to 776 of the family's 1533-position model. Lineage: Bacteria; Pseudomonadati; Bacteroidota. The record is from RNAcentral.